Molecule: ribosomal RNA, 465 nt
Filed under: Vreelandella stevensii
Lineage: Bacteria; Pseudomonadati; Pseudomonadota; Gammaproteobacteria; Oceanospirillales; Halomonadaceae
Description: partial 16S ribosomal RNA
Rfam family: Bacterial small subunit ribosomal RNA
Source: RNAcentral
CCUACGGGGUGCAGCAGUGGGGAAUAUUGGACAAUGGGCGAAAGCCUGAUCCAGCCAUGCCGCGUGUGUGAAGAAGGCCUUCGGGUUGUAAAGCACUUUCAGUGGGGAAGAAAGCCUUGGGGCUAAUACCCUCGAGGAAGGACAUCACCCACAGAAGAAGCACCGGCUAACUCCGUGCCAGCAGCCGCGGUAAUACGGAGGGUGCGAGCGUUAACCGGAAUUACUGGGCGUAAAGCGCGCGUAGGCGGUCUGAUAAGCCGGUUGUGAAAGCCCCGGGCUCAACCUGGGAACGGCAUCCGGAACUGUCAGGCUAGAGUGCAGGAGAGGAAGGUAGAAUUCCCGGUGUAGCGGUGAAAUGCGUAGAGAUCGGGAGGAAUACCAGUGGCGAAGGCGGCCUUCUGGACUGACACUGACGCUGAGGUGCGAAAGCGUGGGUAGCAAACAGGAUUAGAUACCCUAGUAGUC